CGUGUUUGGCUUGAGGUUUCUAAACCUAAAAAGAUCCCUGACUGGAGCUGUCCCCCGCCUCCUGACAGGCAGCUGCAGGUGGGCUGCUCGGACACAAACUGCAGCUUAGGUACACGGUCCUUGGAGUCUCCCUGUAGCCUUUUGGAAAGGGAAGGAGCACUUACUAAAUUCACUGCGAAGUGACAGAGAGCCUUUCCUUGGCCAGGUUGGACAGGUGCUUCUGCCCUCUUUUCAACUAGUUCUCAACCUUGGCCUCUAAAGACUUAGGCACUAAGAUGGUUUUGAACAUCACGUCGGCGUCGCUAGGAUGACUCCAGCUCCACUUAGAAUGCCUGCCUGACAAAGCUCAAGGUGCCGGGAGAAUCUAGCCACCGCCAGAAGAGAGUCUCUGCUCCUCAGUGUCUCUAGGAGAAGAGGAGCAUAACUUCCAGAAACUCUGCUUAGUGUCCCCAGGUGGAGUGGGGAACACAGACCUGGUUCCUGUCUUCAAGCAACUCAGGAUCUAAUCUGCAGACAAGACAUGGAUCCAUCCAAAAGCAACGCACGACGAUGUUGUGGAGGCCGGUGGGAGUGAGAAGACCGAGGAGGAGGCCCAGGCUGUGACCAAGGAGGAGGAGGCGGGCCCGGCCCCUGAGAAGGGGGCAGAGGAGGCCGCAGCCGUUGGCGAGGCAGAGGAGGAGGCGGGCCCAGGCAGUGACAAUGACAAGACGUCCCCAGCCAGGGCUGGGGCUGAGCAGGAAGAUGAAUCUGCCCCCAAGGUGGACGGGACGGACGGUGAAAGCUCGUGGAGCACUGUGAGUCUGUGUGGCAGCGUCCACGAUGAAGAUGACACAGACUCGGUGGUGGAGAGCAGCAACAGCCACCAGGACGAGGAGGCUGCAGAAUCUUGCUUUGGGAGGAAAGGAUCUUGCUUCAGGAGCCUGAGGAUAAGUUUGUCCUCUGCGAGCUUGGCUAGACUAAUCCCCUGGUGGCCGCACAACAGGGUGCACCCAGCCACUGAGCCAGAUGAAGCAACGCACGACGAUGUUGUGGAGGCCGGUGGGAGUGAGAAGACCGAGGAGGAGGCCCAGGCUGUGACCAAGGAGGAGGAGGCGGGCCCGGCCCCUGAGAAGGGGGCAGAGGAGGCCGCAGCCGUUGGCGAGGCAGAGGAGGAGGCGGGCCCAGGCAGUGACAAUGACAAGACGUCCCCAGCCAGGGCUGGGGCUGAGCAGGAAGAUGAAUCUGCCCCCAAGGUAAGCUCACCUUUCUUGAUGUGAGGUUGGAAAAGUCGCCUCCUUUUUUUUUGAUAUUCCUACCUGAGAAAAUGAAAAUCUGAGGAAGUCCAUUGUUUA
Molecule: long non-coding RNA, 1331 nt
Filed under: Sus scrofa (pig)
Lineage: Eukaryota; Metazoa; Chordata; Mammalia; Artiodactyla; Suidae
Description: lncRNA (ENSSSCG00070022084.1)
Source: RNAcentral